AGAGUUUGAUCCUGGCUCAGAACGAACGCUGGCGGCGUGGAUAAGACAUGCAAGUCGAGCGAGAUUUUUCGUUGUAGCAAUACGAUGGAAAGUCUAGCGGCGAACGGGUGCUUAACACGUGGGCAACCUGCCAUGAAGUGGGGGAUAGCUCGCCGAAAAGGCGAAUUAAUACCGCAUGUGAUUAGAGAGGACAUCCUUUCGAAAUUAAAGUCGGGGCAACCUGACGCUUCUUGUGGGGCCCGCGGCCUAUCAGCUAGUUGGUGAGGUAACGGCUCACCAAGGCUUUGACGGGUAGCUGGUCUGAGAGGACGACCAGCCACACUGGGACUGAGACACGGCCCAGACACCUACGGGUGGCAGCAGUCGAGAAUUUUUGACAAUGGGGGAAACCCUGAUCGAGCGACGCCGCGUGGAGGAUGAAGGUCUUCGGAUUGUAAACUCCUGUCAUUUGGGAACAAGGUGCACACGUUAACUGCGUGUGCAUUGAUAGUACCAGAAGAGGAAGAGACGGCUAACUCUGUGCCAGCAGCCGCGGUAAUACAGAGGUCUCAAGCGUUGUUCGGAUUCAUUGGGCGUAAAGGGUGCGUAGGCGGCGCGGUAAGUCGGGUGUGAAAUCUCGGAGCUUAACUCCGAAACUGCAUUCGAUACUGCCGUGCUUGAGGACUGGAGAGGAGACUGGAAUUUACGGUGUAGCGGUGAAAUGCGUAGAUAUCGUAAGGAAGACCAGUGGCGAAGGCGGGUCUCUGGACAGUUCCUGACGCUGAGGCACGAAGGCCAGGGGAGCAAACGGGAUUAGAUACCCCCGUAGUCC
RNAcentral lists this ribosomal RNA (811 nucleotides) under uncultured bacterium. Its description in RNAcentral is "bacterial SSU rRNA". It matches the Rfam family "Bacterial small subunit ribosomal RNA", at positions 8 to 796 of the family's 1533-position model. The record is from RNAcentral.